GACGAACGCUGGCGGCGUGCUUAACACAUGCAAGUCGAGCGGUAAGGCCCUUUCGGGGGUACACGAGCGGCGAACGGGUGAGUAACACGUGGGUGACCUGCCCUCAGCUCUGGGAUAAGCCCGGGAAACUGGGUCUAAUACUGGAUAUGACUCCAUGACGCAUGUUGUGGGGUGGAAAGCCUUGUGCGGCUGAGGAUGGGCCCGCGGCCUAUCAGCUUGUUGGUGGGGGAUGGCCUACCAAGGCGACGACGGGUAGCCGGCCUGAGAGGGCGACCGGCCACACUGGGACUGAGACACGGCCCAAACUCCUACGGGAGGCAGCAGUGGGGAAUCUUGCGCAAUGGGCGAAAGCCUGACGCAGCGACGCCGCGUGAGGGAUGACGGCCUCGG
RNAcentral lists this ribosomal RNA (390 nucleotides) under uncultured bacterium. RNAcentral's name for it is "bacterial SSU rRNA". It matches the Rfam family "Bacterial small subunit ribosomal RNA", at positions 28 to 420 of the family's 1533-position model. The record is from RNAcentral.